UGGGCCUGUCUAACAGAAAAAAGCCAUGAGUAAAACAAAUAUAAGAAAUUGUGAGUGUAUGUUUUGUAUCGUGCUUUUAGGAAGAGAGUAGGAGAGCCGCGUGGUUUGUGUUUGCUGAGAUGUCGGAUCCGUACGAGCGUGCGAAAGGAGGAAGAUUGGCAUUCAAAGGAGGGAUUCUCGCCUCUCGCUCCAAAUCCAUCGAGAAGAAGGGCAAGAACAAGAAGAAGCGGACGACGGCGGCGGCCGCCGAGGAUGAGAACUCCGGCCCUAACCCUAACCCUAACCCCAACCCUGACGAAGCUGUCGACACCGACAAACAGGCGGAGGGAUCUGAAUACACCAUCGACGCGGCGAAGCGUAUGAAGUACGACCAACUCUUCCCCGUGGAAGCCAAGAAGUUCGGGUACCAACCCAAAACUAACUUCAAUUCAGUUGAGGAUGCCCUCGAUGAUCGUGUCAAGAAGAAGGCUGAUCGUUAUUGUAAAUGAAACUAUCAAUCAAUCGUGGUAGCGGUGCCAUGGACUGUGCACUCAUUUUCCGGUGCUGUAAAUGUAACGCAUAUUGUUGCAGAUAUUUCAAUAUUAUGAAUGGAUCAAUAUUACGCUUCAGUGAAACCAUGUGUAGUUCAUCUGUCUCGUUAAUAUUAGUUAAAAGUGACAUAUAUGUGAAGCCUCGGUUCUGACCCAAGAUUCAUAGGACUAUACCACAUAAGCCUUAUGUUUAAGACAUGAAUUAUAAUUGAUCUAACUUGGAGGUUAAGUUCCAUGACAUGCGAGGUUCAUCAUCCAUAAAGGGGACGGAGAUAACUACGGUAGGUCUUAUGAAUAGACCCUUGAGGUCACCAUAUCGGGAUUUGAUAUUCAAUGGUUUAAGUUAAGAUAUUCAAUUCUCUGAAUGAUUUUUGUUACAUUAGAUUGUAUAUUAAGAUUUCUAAGUUUAUUCUGAGUAACUUACCUUUCUUUCA
Vigna radiata var. radiata (mung bean) is the source of this 964-nucleotide RNA transcript. RefSeq lists it as uncharacterized. The transcript is spliced from 3 exons. The record is from RefSeq and is a predicted model, not a curated record. NCBI's taxonomy places the organism in Eukaryota, Viridiplantae, Streptophyta, Magnoliopsida, Fabales, Fabaceae.